Pipistrellus kuhlii (Kuhl's pipistrelle) is the source of this 330-nucleotide long non-coding RNA. RefSeq lists it as uncharacterized. Lineage: Eukaryota; Metazoa; Chordata; Mammalia; Chiroptera; Vespertilionidae. The record is from RefSeq and is a predicted model, not a curated record. The transcript is spliced from 3 exons.
UUUAUUUAUCUUCUAUAAUUAAAACUUUAUAGCAUUGAGUGGGGAGGCCAGAGCUGGCCAGGGAAGGUAGAAAGCUUGGCUUCUUCCAUCAGUGGGGGCAACCCAAGCCUCCUGCUCACUGCAGCUCCAUGGCUGCCACCAUCUUUGUUGGGUUGAUUUGCAUACUCACUCCUGCUUGGCUGGUGGGAGUAGCAGAGGGAUUGUCAAUUUGCAUGUUUCUCUUUUAUUACAUUAGAUCAUGGUGUGUUUUUUCUUGCCAUUAUUAACCAUAGUAACUAUUGCUUAUGUAUUAAAGCUCUAUUCCUGCUAAGUCUAGAAGCACCCUCAGAA